CAUGCAGGCGGCCUGUUAAGUCAGAUGUGAAAGCCCGGGGCUUAACCUCGGAAUUGCAUUUGAAACUGGCAGGCUAGAGUCUUGUAGAGGGGGUAGAAUUUCAGGUGUAGCGGUGAAAUGCGUAGAGAUCUGAAGGAAUACCAGUGGCGAAGGCGGCCCCCUGGACAAAGACUGACGCUCAGAUGCGAAAGCGUGGGGAGCAAACAGGAUUAGAUACCCUGGUAG
RNAcentral lists this ribosomal RNA (225 nucleotides) under uncultured bacterium. RNAcentral describes it as "partial 16S ribosomal RNA". It matches the Rfam family "Bacterial small subunit ribosomal RNA", at positions 568 to 793 of the family's 1533-position model. The record is from RNAcentral.